Solanum lycopersicum (tomato) is the source of this 812-nucleotide non-coding RNA. NCBI's taxonomy places the organism in Eukaryota, Viridiplantae, Streptophyta, Magnoliopsida, Solanales, Solanaceae. The record is from RefSeq and is a predicted model, not a curated record.
GAAGAACCCUAAUUUUUUACCCAAAAAUCUGUACCCCAAAUUUAAUUCAAACAUAACUCAAAAUUCCUUCUUUUGAAUCAAAGGUGCCACAAUGGCUCAAAAAAGUUUUAGUAGGCUCUGUUUGCAAAAGGAAGAUCUUAAAUUGGAAGAGGUGCGAUGCAAACAUGAAUUUGUUUGCCUUUGCUAACCUUUUGGACCCAAAGAAAUCCUGGUAGAAAAUAUUGGGGUUGUCCUUACUAUGGGAAUGCUAGAUCAUGCGAUUUUUGACUUUGGAAGGAUGAUUAUAUUGAUCAAAGAUCCAAAUUUGUGACUCUUAAGUUGUUGGGAAGAAUUGUUGAGCUUGAACAUAUUGUUGAAUCUUCUGAAAAAGUUGAAACUUCUACUAAGGAAGUCAACAUGCCUACUAAAUCAACCAAAUAUAUGGAAAGCAGAUUAGGUAUGAACAAGAUAGAGUUAGAAAUGGACAAUUUCGAUGAUAAUUUGAAGAAGAUGAAAGCAGUUGAAAAAAAUGGAAAAACAAAUAGGCCAAGUUCAAAAAAAGGGAGAAACAACUUUGAUUGUUUUUUUUUAUGUUUGUAUUUUAGGUGUAAGUCAGUAUUUCAAAGACUAUUGUUUCUAAACAGAGAAGUAGAUUCAAGGAGAUUGCCAUAAUCUUUUCUUGUACCAAAAAUUUGCAAUAUUGUGUUAAACUUGUAAGGCUUUUUGUGUAAUGAAAUGAUGUUAGUUGAAUUUUCUUGUGUAAUGAAAUGAUGUUACAUUUGAAUUUGCUUGUGUAAUGAAGUUGCAUUUGUGUAAUGAAGAAUUUGCAAGGC